Molecule: ribosomal RNA, 441 nt
Filed under: uncultured bacterium
Lineage: Bacteria
Description: partial 16S ribosomal RNA
Rfam family: Bacterial small subunit ribosomal RNA
Source: RNAcentral
CCUACGGGAGACAGCAGUGGGGAAUAUUGCACAAUGGGGGAAACCCUGAUGCAGCGACGCCGCGUGAGUGAAGAAGUAUUUCUGUAUGUAAAGCUCUAUCAGCAGGGAAGAAGCAAGACGGUACCUGACUAAGACGCCCCGGCUAACUACGUGCCAGCAGCCGCGGUAAUACGUAGGGGGCAAGCGUUAUCCGGAUUUACUGGGUGUAAAGGGAGCGUAGACGGUAUGGCAAGUCUGAAGUGAAAGCCCAGGGCUUAACCCUGGGACUGCUUUGGAAACUGUUAGACUAGAGUGCGGGAGAGGUAAGUGGAAUGCCUAGUGUAGCGGUGAAAUGCGUAGAUAUUAGGAGGAACACCAGUGGCGAAAGCGGCUCUCUGGGCUGUAACUGACGCUGAGGUUCGAAAGCGUGGGUAGCAAACAGGAUUAGAUACCCUUGUAGUC